GAGUGACUGUUGCUGGGUUUGCUUCUGAGAGGAGGUGGAAUAAGGGUUUAAAAGCAGGAAGUUCCAGACAGUUGCUGAGCCACUCUGGGAGAGAGCAGACAGCAGCUCUACAGCUCCCAAGAGGGACUCCUGGAGAGCUUCAGGGAAACUACUCUCAAGAAUGUCAUUCCCCAAUCACCAGCACUUACAGAUCCCAAGGAGAACAACCAUUAAAUGGGAGGAGCAGCUGGAAAAGGUGUGGUGUCAGAUGGCUGCAGAGCAGAUUCACAGGAUGAAGACGGAGGAAAUGGAGCUCAUCAG
Long non-coding RNA from Mauremys reevesii (Reeves's turtle), 300 nucleotides. RefSeq lists it as uncharacterized. Lineage: Eukaryota; Metazoa; Chordata; Testudines; Geoemydidae. The record is from RefSeq and is a predicted model, not a curated record. The transcript is spliced from 3 exons.